Molecule: ribosomal RNA, 236 nt
Filed under: uncultured bacterium
Lineage: Bacteria
Description: partial 16S ribosomal RNA
Rfam family: Bacterial small subunit ribosomal RNA
Source: RNAcentral
AGAGUUUGAUAAUGGCUCAGGAUAAACGCUGGCGGCGCACAUAAGACAUGCAAGUCGAACGAACUUAACAAUUAGUUUACUAUUGGAGCGGUUAGUGGCGGACUGGUGAGUAACACGUAAGCAACCUGCCUAUCAGAGGGGAACAACAGUUAGAAAUGACUGCUAAUACCACAUAUGCCUUAGAAUCACAUGGUUCGAAAGGGAAAGGAGCAAUCCGCUGAUAGAUGGGCUUGCGU